ACCCUUCGAGAACCUCUCCACCGAAAUCUUUCCCUGCCCAAACCCUAAACUCCCUCUCUACCGAACUUCUCUGCCCAACCCUCUUCGGUGAACCCCUGUCUGCCCUCUUCGAUGAAUGGGAGGAGACAAGGUAUGAUUUCUCUUGAAUGGGAGAAGCAUGGAAAGAAGACACUUUUCCCCCUAAACCCUUCGCUCUACUCCGGCUUCUUGAAUGGAGGAGACGAGGAAUGGUUUCUCUUGAUUUCACAUCACCUAGAAGUAACUGGCGCUCAAUCAGGAUGAGACACCUUUGCUUUAUAGCUUGGUGUUUGGUGAAGAAGUUGUAAAUGAUGCUACAUCAGUGGUGCUUUUUAACAUGAUUCAAAAAUGGGCAAGAUCGAUGAGUGCUUACAUUAUUAAACAGUUGCAUUUUGGAAGGUAUGAAAAAAUAUCAACUAUUUUUUUCUGGUCUCUACAUUUUUCUCUUUGUAGGCAAACCCCUCUCCUCUCCUAAACCAUAAUUAACAAGUCUUGUUUUUAGGAGUAUUUUGAAAUGAACUAUGAUUUAAUGAAAUAGUUUGGAUGUAUUUAGAAUUAUAGUGUUUGAUAUAUUUUGUGGAUUCAAAUAGAUAAUCAAUUAUGAUUUAUCACGGCCUUGAGCUUGCAAAAAAAAAAAAAAAUAGUCACCCAUGUGUUAGAAAAUAUAAGUAUAUAUUAUUAUAUUAAAAAAUCAUAUGAAAUUUGAGUUCUCUUUAUUAUCCCAAUUUUACUUAUGAGAAUCAUAUGAAAUUUGAGUUAUCUCCAUAAAGAAGUCGAAGAGUAUUCACCUGAAUGUCACAACAUAAUUAACAUUGCUGAUGAUGCAAUUAAAAUUAUAUUUGGCAAGGAAGCUCAAGAUAGAGUGCAUGGAAUGAGCUGAUGAUGCUGCAGCGUGUAGCAGCAUGCAGUUGAUGUGUUAGGACU
Long non-coding RNA from Zingiber officinale, 942 nucleotides. RefSeq lists it as uncharacterized. NCBI's taxonomy places the organism in Eukaryota, Viridiplantae, Streptophyta, Magnoliopsida, Zingiberales, Zingiberaceae. The record is from RefSeq and is a predicted model, not a curated record. The transcript is spliced from 3 exons.